RNAcentral lists this ribosomal RNA (323 nucleotides) under uncultured beta proteobacterium. Its description in RNAcentral is "bacterial SSU rRNA". It matches the Rfam family "Bacterial small subunit ribosomal RNA", at positions 172 to 490 of the family's 1533-position model. The record is from RNAcentral. Lineage: Bacteria; Pseudomonadati; Pseudomonadota; Betaproteobacteria.
CAUAAUCUCUGAGGAGAAAAGCAGGGGCUCUUAGGACCUUGUGCUUUUGGAGCGGCCGAUGCCUGAUUAGCUAGUUGGUGGGGUAAAGGCCUACCAAGGCUUCGAUCAGUAGUUGGUCUGAGAGGACGACCAGCCACACUGGGACUGAGACACGGCCCAGACUCCUACGGGAGGCAGCAGUGGGGAAUUUUGGACAAUGGGGGCAACCCUGAUCCAGCCAUGCCGCGUGAGUGAAGAAGGCCUUCGGGUUGUAAAGCUCUUUCAGUCGGGAAGAAAAGGUUACGGCUAAUACCCGUAAUUCAUGACGGUACCGACAGAAGAAG